UUAAAAAGCUUGCUUUUUAAGUUAGCGGCGGACGGGUGAGUAACACGUGGGCAACCUGCCUGUAAGACUGGGAUAACUUCGGGAAACCGGAGCUAAUACUGGAUAAUCCUUUUCUACUCAUGUAGGAAAGCUGAAAGACGGUUUACGCUGUCACUUACAGAUGGGCCCGCGGCGCAUUAGCUAGUUGGUGAGGUAACGGCUCACCAAGGCGACGAUGCGUAGCCGACCUGAGAGGGUGAUCGGCCACACUGGGACUGAGACACGGCCCAGACUCCUACGGGAGGCAGCAGUAGGGAAUCUUCCGCAAUGGACGAAAGUCUGACGGAGCAACGCCGCGUGAGUGAUGAAGGUUUUCGGAUCGUAAAACUCUGUUGUUAGGGAAGAACAAGUACGAGAGUAACUGCUCGUACCUUGACGGUACCUAACCAGAAAGCCACGGCUAACUACGUGCCAGCAGCCGCGGUAAUACGUAGGUGGCAAGCGUUGUCCGGAAUUAUUGGGCGUAAAGCGCGCGCAGGCGGUCCUUUAAGUCUGAUGUGAAAGCCCACGGCUCAACCGUGGAGGGUCAUUGGAAACUGGGGGACUUGAGUGCAGAAGAGGAGAGUGGAAUUCCACGUGUAGCGGUGAAAUGCGUAGAGAUGUGGAGGAACACCAGUGGCGAAGGCGACUCUCUGGUCUGUAACUGACGCUGAGGCGCGAAAGCGUGGGGAGCGAACAGGAUUA
This 723-nucleotide ribosomal RNA is filed under the name uncultured bacterium. Its description in RNAcentral is "bacterial SSU rRNA". It matches the Rfam family "Bacterial small subunit ribosomal RNA", at positions 71 to 780 of the family's 1533-position model. The record is from RNAcentral.